Molecule: ribosomal RNA, 497 nt
Filed under: uncultured bacterium
Lineage: Bacteria
Description: partial 16S ribosomal RNA
Rfam family: Bacterial small subunit ribosomal RNA
Source: RNAcentral
GAUGAACGCUGGCGGCGUGCCUAAUACAUGCAAGUCGAGCGAACAGACGAGGAGCUUGCUCCUCUGACGUUAGCGGCGGACGGGUGAGUAACACGUGGAUAACCUACCUAUAAGACUGGGAUAACGUCGGGAAACCGGAGCUAAUACCGGAUAAUAUAUUGAACCGCAUGGUUCAAUAGUGAAAGACGGUUUUGCUGUCACUUAUAGAUGGAUCCGCGCCGCAUUAGCUAGUUGGUAAGGUAACGGCUUACCAAGGCGACGAUGCGUAGCCGACCUGAGAGGGUGAUCGGCCACACUGGAACUGAGACACGGUCCAGACUCCUACGGGAGGCAGCAGUAGGGAAUCUUCCGCAAUGGGCGAAAGCCUGACGGAGCAACGCCGCGUGAGUGAUGAAGGUCUUCGGAUCGUAAAACUCUGUUAUUAGGGAAGAACAAAUGUGUAAGUAACUAUGCACGUCUUGACGGUACCUAAUCAGAAAGCCACGGCUAACUACGUG